This 864-nucleotide ribosomal RNA is filed under the name Trichophora sp. San Rafael #1. Its description in RNAcentral is "partial 28S ribosomal RNA". It matches the Rfam family "Eukaryotic large subunit ribosomal RNA", at positions 120 to 854 of the family's 3401-position model. The record is from RNAcentral. Lineage: Eukaryota; Metazoa; Arthropoda; Insecta; Diptera; Tachinidae.
UUUAUCUUUAUGGUAAAUGUGAGAUGCAGUGUAUGGAAUGUCAAAUUUCUAGUAUGAGAAAUUAACGAUUUAAGUCCUUCUUAAAUGAGGCCAUUUACCCACAGAGGGUGCCAGGCCCGUAUAACGUUAAUGAUUACUAGAUGAUAUUUCCAAAGAGUCGUGUUGCUUGAUAGUGCAGCACUAAGUGGGUGGUAAACUCCAUCUAAAACUAAAUAUAACCAUGAGACCGAUAGUAAACAAGUACCGUGAGGGAAAGUUGAAAAGAACUCUGAAUAGAGAGUUAAAUAGUACGUGAAACUGCUUAGAGGUUAAGCCCGAUGAACCUGAAUAUCCGAUAUAGAAAAUUCAUCAUUACGAUUAAAGUAUUAUAAUAAUAGUGUGCAUUUUUUCUAUAAAAGGACAUUGUAAUUUAUUAACAUAAUAUUUAUCAUAAGAGCUAAAGUUUAUUCCAAUUAUAUUUUUUAAAAUGUAACAUGGAGUAAAUGCUUACGAUUUGAUAAAGUGUUGAUAAAUUUAAUAUAGUGCUUCAAUAAUAUUAUAUAGUAUCAUAUUAAUUAUUAAUUUUUAUGUUUUUAUAUGCACUUGUAUGAUUAACAAUGCGAAAGAUUCAGGAUACCUUCGGGACCCGUCUUGAAACACGGACCAAGGAGUCUAACAUAUUUGCAAGUUAUUGGGUAAAACCUAAUAGCGAAACUAACAUAACAUAAUGGGAUUAGUUUUUAACCUAUUAAUACAAUCCCGGGGCAUUCUAUAUAGUUAUGUAUAAUAGUAUUUAUAUUAUUUAUACCUCUAACUGGAAUGUACCUUGAGCAUAUAUGCUGUGACCCGAAAGAUGGUGAACUAUACUUGAUCAGGUUGAAGUCA